CCUACGGGUGGCAGCAGUCGAGAAUCAUUCACAAUGGGGGAAACCCUGAUGCUGCGACGCCGCGUGGGGGAAUGAAGGUCUUCGGAUUGUAAACCCCUGUCAUGUGGGAGCAAAUUAAAAAGAUAGUACCACAAGAGGAAGAGACGGCUAACUCUGUGCCAGCAGCCGCGGUAAUACAGAGGUCUCAAGCGUUGUUCGGAAUCACUGGGCGGAAAGGGUGCGGAGGCUGUUUCGUAAGUCGUGUGUGAAAGGCGCGGGCCCAACCCGCGGGAGGGACAUGAAACUGCGAGAGUAGAGGAAUGGGGGGGGAACCGGAAUUCUCGGUGUAGGAGUGAAAUGCGGAGAUAACGAGAGGAA
RNAcentral lists this ribosomal RNA (357 nucleotides) under uncultured bacterium. Its description in RNAcentral is "partial 16S ribosomal RNA". It matches the Rfam family "Bacterial small subunit ribosomal RNA", at positions 338 to 706 of the family's 1533-position model. The record is from RNAcentral.